UGUAGCAGCCGGCUUGCUGGCGAUGGUGUGUCAGUUAACGCAUCAGUGUCUGACACUCCAUCGCCAGCAAGCCGGCUCCUACA
Molecule: unclassified non-coding RNA, 83 nt
Filed under: Pseudomonas migulae
Lineage: Bacteria; Pseudomonadati; Pseudomonadota; Gammaproteobacteria; Pseudomonadales; Pseudomonadaceae
Source: RNAcentral